This 282-nucleotide ribosomal RNA is filed under the name Staphylococcus aureus. RNAcentral's name for it is "partial 16S ribosomal RNA". It matches the Rfam family "Bacterial small subunit ribosomal RNA", at positions 78 to 351 of the family's 1533-position model. The record is from RNAcentral. Lineage: Bacteria; Bacillati; Bacillota; Bacilli; Caryophanales; Staphylococcaceae.
GCUUGCUUCUCUGAUGUUAGCGGCGGACGGGUGAGUAACACGUGGAUAACCUACCUAUAAGACUGGGAUAACUUCGGGAAACCGGAGCUAAUACCGGAUAAUAUUUUGAACCGCAUGGUUCAUAAAGUGAAAGACGGUCUUGCUGUCACUUAUAGAUGGAUCCGCGCUGCAUUAGCUAGUUGGUAAGGUAACGGCUUACCAAGGCAACGAUGCAUAGCCGACCUGAGAGGGUGAUCGGCCACACUGGAACUGAGACACGGUCCAGACUCCUACGGGAGGCAG